RNAcentral lists this ribosomal RNA (1512 nucleotides) under Triticum aestivum (bread wheat). Its description in RNAcentral is "partial small subunit ribosomal RNA". The record is from RNAcentral. Lineage: Eukaryota; Viridiplantae; Streptophyta; Magnoliopsida; Poales; Poaceae.
AUGGAGCAGACCCAGAUUCAGAAGCUGCACGAAAGGGUUCAAACGCUAGAGGAACGAGACGGCAAUCGACAUGCCGAAACUACCCCCGAAGCUACCCCGCCAUCUCAGCGGAGAAGCAGCGUGGCUUCCAUCGAGCUGCUUCAGCCGGAGCAUGUCUUGACGGCUCCUGCUAGCUACCCCGUGGAUGCUAUCACGGAGUCUCAACAUUGCCACCUUAUGGAGGAAUGGCAGAACUUCAAAGUCAAGGUGGCUGUUGGCUCUAUUUUACCUCUUGAACCCGGCGCAACCUACCAUUGCCGGCCGAUUCCAGAAGGAUAUGCUAGGGUGAUGGUGGAUGAAAUAACGGAGGGAUUUGAGGACCUCCAGCUUGACCACCCUACUGGUGAAGGGGAGACUCGGCUGGGUUUAGCUCUGAAGACUCCAUGCCUAUGGCGGAAGGAGCUCAUUAACCUUCCGAACUGGACGCCUCCGGCGAGUAAGGGCACUUCGCCGCCGCCUCCUCCUCCGGCGAGUGAUCAGGGCACUCAGCCUCCUUCUCCGGCGCGUGGCGGCACUCCGCCUCCUCCUCCGGCGAGUGAUCAGGCUACUCAUCAGCCUCCUUCUCCGGGGCGUGGCGGCACUCCGCCUCCUUCUCCGCCCGCGCCGGCGUGCCUGAGCAGCCAGCCUCCUCCUUCUCCGCCUCGUCAGCAAGGGCGGAAGAGACCCGCCGCCGUUCCGGCUGCUCCGGCGCGUCGUAGUCCUUCUCCUCCGCCUCAUAAGCAAGGAAAGAAGACAGCCGCAACUGCUCCAUCUGCUCUGCCGGCGUCUAGCAGUACAGCUGCCAGAGGUGGGAGGCAAUACAGAUUCGGUCCUUCUCUGAAGACUCCAGAGAAGUUAUCAUACGAGAGGACCGAGGAGGAGAACGCGAAGAUCGUGCGAGCCGAAGUGAAGAACUUCUUUGAAGGGGUGAAAGCAAAGAAAUAUCCACCUCCGGAGGAGAAGGUAGAUCCGGUGAAAGCGAAGCGCACUCUGGAUGCCCUGACAAAACCACCAAAGUCUCCGCCGAAAGGCAACUAUGAGCGCAUUAUUGCAAAGACAUUUGUCGAAGCGGAGCGGUCGGGAAGUACUGUCAGUGAUCAAAGGUUAAAAGAACGACGAGCUGGGAAAAAAAUUGCCCAGCUCGGCGAACAAGCGAACCAAUCGUGCCCCCCGCUCAAGGUGUCUAAAGACAUCGUCGCUAAUGAUCCGAGGAUGGUGGCCGGUUAUAGCAAUCUUGGAGAUUACCUGCCCGACGAUGUACAUUAUGAAAUCAUGGAGGUGGAUGAACACAAAUACCAUUACGGGAAGCCUCUCGUCAAAGAUGAAAGAUCUCUAACAACGAUGAUGCGAAGAUUACAUGAUUGGUACAUGAAAACCUACAGAGAGUCUGAUGGGAUGAAUACUUUGACGCUGAGAGUUAAACCGGAGCAUGACCUCGUUGGAAUUGAACUGCUGAAUGUUCCAUUUGAGGAGUUCUUCCAGUUUUUCAAUCAA